Molecule: non-coding RNA, 29 nt
Filed under: Rattus norvegicus (Norway rat)
Lineage: Eukaryota; Metazoa; Chordata; Mammalia; Rodentia; Muridae
Source: RNAcentral
UGUGCCAUUCUUCCUCGAUAUUUUCCUGU